RNAcentral lists this long non-coding RNA (250 nucleotides) under Ananas comosus (pineapple). RNAcentral describes it as "long non-coding RNA (ACOM_LNC040877)". Lineage: Eukaryota; Viridiplantae; Streptophyta; Magnoliopsida; Poales; Bromeliaceae. The record is from RNAcentral.
UCUACUUAUAUUCUUUUAAUUAUGAAACCACUUCCUCACCUUUCAAUUUUUUCUGCCCAAAAUAUAUUUAUCUUUUUACUCUUUUCUUGGCUCUUGUUAGUUUAUCACAUGUCACCUCUCUAUUUGACCAUAUGAGCUGAGCUGAUUAGUUGGCACCGUAAUUUUCUAUGCCAACGCCACUUUAAUUGGAUACAUGAUCGGAAUUUCUCAGUUGUUGAACUUUUUGUAUUUAGCGAAGAGCAUUUGGCGG